RNAcentral lists this ribosomal RNA (700 nucleotides) under Halomonas sp. CM3. RNAcentral describes it as "bacterial SSU rRNA". It matches the Rfam family "Bacterial small subunit ribosomal RNA", at positions 110 to 812 of the family's 1533-position model. The record is from RNAcentral. Lineage: Bacteria; Pseudomonadati; Pseudomonadota; Gammaproteobacteria; Oceanospirillales; Halomonadaceae.
GUAAUGCAUAGGAAUUUACCCGGUAGUGGGGGAUAACCUGGGGAAACCCAGGCUAAUACCGCAUACGUCCUACGGGAGAAAGGGGGCUUCGGCUCCCGCUAUUGGAUGAGCCUAUGUCGGAUUAGCUGGUUGGUGAGGUAAUGGCUCACCAAGGCGACGAUCCGUAGCUGGUCUGAGAGGAUGAUCAGCCACAUCGGGACUGAGACACGGCCCGAACUCCUACGGGAGGCAGCAGUGGGGAAUAUUGGACAAUGGGGGCAACCCUGAUCCAGCCAUGCCGCGUGUGUGAAGAAGGCCCUCGGGUUGUAAAGCACUUUCAGCGAGGAAGAACGCCUGUCGGUUAAUACCCGGCAGGAGAGACAUCACUCGCAGAAGAAGCACCGGCUAACUCCGUGCCAGCAGCCGCGGUAAUACGGAGGGUGCAAGCGUUAAUCGGAAUUACUGGGCGUAAAGCGCGCGUAGGUGGCUUGAUAAGCCGGUUGUGAAAGCCCCGGGCUCAACCUGGGAACGGCAUCCGGAACUAUGAGGCUAGAGUGCAGGAGAGGAAGGUAGAAUUCCCGGUGUAGCGGUGAAAUGCGUAGAGAUCGGGAGGAAUACCAGUGGCGAAGGCGGCCUUCUGGACUGACACUGACACUGAGGUGCGAAAGCGUGGGUAGCAAACAGGAUUAGAUACCCUGGUAGUCCACGCCGUAAACGAUGU